GUGGCGCCUGGUGGGAGGUGAUUGCAUUAUGGGAGCAGUUUCUCAUGGUUUAACAAUACCCACCUUUGUGUUGUCACAGCAAGAGUGAGUUAUCGUGAGUUCUGGUUGUUUAAAAGUGUGUAGCACCUCCCUCCAUCUCCUGCUCUUCCUCUGGCCAUAUAGGAGGUACCUGCUUCCCCUUCACGUCUGCCAUGAUUGUAAGUUUCCUGAGGCCUCUCCAGAAGCAGAAGCUGCUAUGUUUCCUGUACUGUCUGCAGAACAGCAACAAGUGGGAAGGGGGAAACCGCUGUCUAUGGCUCUUGCAGCUAACAGGCCCAUGGAGAAGAGCAAAAUUUUGAUAAGAAGAUUUGAUAAGAAGAUUCCAGAGCUGCCUCCAUAUCCAGGUCAUUGUGCUGUGAAAUACUUGAGGAGUUAUAUAACUUUCAUGGACCUGGGCCACUCGCUAGUAACACAAGCUCCUGGGCCUCAUCCUCAAGCAACUGACUCAAUUAGACAAGGGCUGGAGAUAGAAAUCUGCAUAUUCAAUCAACAUCUCAGAUGAUCCUGACAUGUGGACAAUUCACUGGAAAAGAUAAUUCCAAAAUCAGCUCCAAAACCAGUUUGGAUCAGACAAAAGGAAUGUAAGAAUCGAGGAAGAAGGUACUUCUUGAAUUAAAAAACCUUUGGUAUACUGAAACUUUUUGAUGGUUGCUUAUGCCCAGAGCUUGUUACUGAAACUCCACUCAAAAUCAUUAAUCUGGAUUUCUAUUGCAAAUUUGCUAGGGUUGCUGCCCUCAUUUUCCCAAGCUUUAUUCCCAGGGCCCAAGCUUAGGUCCUAUGCUGAGGAGCCACAUCUGGACCUGGAAGUAGAUAGUAUGGGCCUUCACCUGUGGGCUGAGCUAUGAGGGGAUAGGGCCUGCAUUAGGGGCCAGGAGUGGUUAUCCAAUGAAGGAAGUCCCUGAAAGUGGACACAGAGCAAACCAAAAUCCAAGGGACCAUACAUGAGCGUGCUUGGGAGCCUCAGGGCAAAGCCAGGAGAGCCAUUGAGGCAGGGCGGUGAGUGGAAAUGGAGGGAGCUGUCAGCGACCCAGAACUGGCUGACAUUUCCCAGGCUCUGAAGCUCUGGUCUGCCUCACUGCACACCAGGAAGUGUGUAUCCCUCUGCAUUGGUUUCUUCUCUUGACACAGCACUCCUGCCUGUCGAGUUGCAGGAUUCAGCCUUAUCUCAUCUUACUUUGGGCAAAACUGGAAGCCCUGGCUCCCGACACGCGCCAGCGUAGCCUUUGCCUAUUUCUCUGACUUAAUGUCAUCUUUCUUCUUUACUCCUCUGUAUUAGUGUACUCCUCUCUUUUAGUCCGUAUCUCAGGUCUGCCCAGCCCUGGUACACUUUGACAUGGAUUUGUUUUCUGGGAAGUUCUUUACUUUACAACCAGAUGACUGUGUUGAAGAAGGACAAAAAGACAUUCCUCUCUGAUUUAGGCUAACCUGCUGGUAGUAGAUCUUAUAAAACUAUAGGCAAACAAUUUAAAGCUACCUUUUAAAGUCUCCACAUUUCUCCAGAAAAUACAAAUGCUUUCACAUACAACCCUGGAACAUUUCUUUCUCGUAACAUUUCCAAUCAUGCUUUUUUAUUUUAAUUAAACUCUGCCACUUAUCAAAAAGAAUUUAUACCAGCUUCCUAAUCAUUUUUGGAAUACCUGUCUUCCUAAUAAAUGUCUAACCUGAGAUACUUGCAGAAAUAUUAUAUUUUCUUCUCCACCUUUAUUCUAUUUAGAAUAAGUCAAGAAUAAUAUUUUAAUUUAGUGUAUUAAAUUGUUUCUUGCCAUAUUCUGUUUUUUUUUUUCAGCUGGCGCUAAAUUAAGUCUGCAAUUUGUGAAAACUUUUUUAAAAUAGUAAUUCAAAAUUCACAUAUAUUAUAAAACUAACAAAGUUUUUUAAAAAUUCGAAAUCAUGUGUUCAGUCUCACUUCAAAAGUGGCACAUAGUAAAUGCUCAAGAAAUAUUUGUUGAAUUAAUAAAAUGAAGGAAAUGAAAGUGUCAGGAGGUUAACCACUCAGCCACUAAAUUGCUUUAUGAUUUGGGGUUAGUUGGGUAACUUUGAGCCUCUGUUAUUUCUCUCACAAUAUCUUAUAAGCACCAAGUGCCAUAAAUAUUCAGGAAAUGCCUUGAAAACAUUAAGUUGCAAAUGUAAGUAAUGUAUUUUUUGCAGAAGCAGAGAGACUAGUUUCUUCAUGAGGGCUAAUAGCUGGCCUCUGUGUACCUCUUUUUCUUACUACAUGUGAGAUUACCUUCGAAUCUAUAUAUCAGCCACAAUGACAAUCUUGGCAUGAGGUUUUGCAGGAAUGCCAAGUGACAUGGGUCCAAGGGUCGUGGAUCUCAUGAGAAAUGGCUGUUGAGGACAAAGAGAUGCAAUUCUGUUGACCACAGUGCUCUUCUUCUGAUGUCAAAACUCCCGUUCCUGUUACUUCCACAAGAUCACUGUUUGCUCAUCCGGAUCAAGGCAGCAAACAUGCCCUGAGAGCAACCUGUGUCCACUUGAAAAAGAUGGACAGCAUCGUGCCUCACCUCUGUCUGUGAGUGGCAGACUGGAAAGGAACCGACCUGAGGUCUUUUCUUUCAUGCUGGGCUGCACACACCAUUUCUGUGUUCCCUGUUAUGGGCAAGCUGUGAUGGAAGGCUGAAAAACCUCACCACGGUGUGUUCAGUCAUUCAACCAUGCACAAACAAUUAGCUACUGCAUGAUAUGUGUCUUGCUCUUUAAAAAAAAAAAAAUCCAUUUCGUGUGGAUUCAGAUUCCACUUUCAAUUUUCAGUCGUGAUCUAGAAAUCUGCACAUAUGACUAUAAUAUUUAAAAGAUGAAUAUCAGAAAGAGAAAGCCUAUUAGAAGCUAACUUUGAAGAGACGGUCCAAAGGGAAAAAUAGGGGUGAUGGUUUGGAGAGAAAAAAGUUAUAGAUAAUGAGAAAAAGCUGAGAAGAGAGAUCCCUUUUUCAUGCUGUAUCAGUUAGCUAUGCUGCCUAACAAAUCACCCCAAAACCCAGUGACUUAAAACAGUGAGCAUUUAUUAUUUCUUGCUACUUUGCUCAUCAGCUGGGCUCACCUGCCAGUUUGUGCCAGGCUUACUUAUGCAGGUCAGGUAAGGCCAGGUUUAGGCCAUUGAGAGGCAGAUGUAGGAUGCCCUUACCCAUGUCUGUGGUUGGUUGGCUGUUCCUGAGGCAACAGACAGACUAGGCCAUGUGUCUCCCAACACCCAGCAGGCUAACCCAGGCCUGUAUAUAUGACUACGGAUUUCCAAGUGAGUAGAAGCAUACAAGGUCUUCGGAAGCCAGUGAUUGGGUUCAGAACAUGCCACCCCAUAAUAUAGCACCUUGGAAUUUGAGAAAACAGCAGAAGUAAGCAGGUCACUCUCACCUUCCUCUCAACGCUUCUCCCUUGAAGCUGACCUUCUCCUGAAGUAGAUCAUAAAAACUUCUUUCCAGAGGUGCCCUCCCUAUACCUGGAGGAAAGAAACAUUCUUAUCCUUGAGGACACGGAGAAAUCAAG
This 3519-nucleotide long non-coding RNA is filed under the name Homo sapiens (human). Its description in RNAcentral is "HSALNT0237436". Lineage: Eukaryota; Metazoa; Chordata; Mammalia; Primates; Hominidae. The record is from RNAcentral.